UGGGGAAUAUUGCACAAUGGGCGCAAGCCUGAUGCAGCCAUGCCGCGUGUAUGAAGAAGGCCUUCGGGUUGUAAAGUACUUUCAGCGGGGAGGAAGGCGAUAAGGUUAAUAACCUUGUCGAUUGACGUUACCCGCAGAAGAAGAACCGGCUAACUCCGUGCCAGCAGCCGCGGUAAUACGGAGGGUGCAAGCGUUAAUCGGGAUUACUGGGCGUAAAGCGCACGCAGGCGGUCUGUCAAGUCGGAUGUGAAAUCCCCGGGCUCAACCUGGGAACUGCAUUCGAAACUGGCAGGCUAGAGUCUUGUAGAGGGGGGUAGAAUUCCAGGUGUAGCGGUGAAAUGCGUAGAGAUCUGGAGGAAUACCGGUGGCGAAGGCGGCCCCCUGGACAAAGACUGACGCUCAGGUGCGAAAGCGUGGGGAGCAAACA
RNAcentral lists this ribosomal RNA (427 nucleotides) under uncultured bacterium. Its description in RNAcentral is "partial 16S ribosomal RNA". It matches the Rfam family "Bacterial small subunit ribosomal RNA", at positions 355 to 774 of the family's 1533-position model. The record is from RNAcentral.